RNAcentral lists this long non-coding RNA (216 nucleotides) under Ananas comosus (pineapple). Its description in RNAcentral is "long non-coding RNA (ACOM_LNC041423)". The record is from RNAcentral. Lineage: Eukaryota; Viridiplantae; Streptophyta; Magnoliopsida; Poales; Bromeliaceae.
AAAAAUAUGAAACCUUAAAUCUAGCCUCAUAAAAAUAUUUCUGACAUCUCUGCCAAUUUUCAUAAUUUUCUGAGACUGUGCAUUUUCUGCUUAUUUAUCUGUCCCGUUUUCAACAGAAAAUUCUAGAUCUUCUGUUUUCAUUCCGAUUUCAUCAUAAGUCACUUCUGACUCAUGUUUUAUUUCUACAAAUCCAAUAGAAAUAGUUUCUCACACUAU